Molecule: ribosomal RNA, 431 nt
Filed under: Clostridium sp. PCP08
Lineage: Bacteria; Bacillati; Bacillota; Clostridia; Eubacteriales; Clostridiaceae
Description: bacterial SSU rRNA
Rfam family: Bacterial small subunit ribosomal RNA
Source: RNAcentral
GGGGGCGUGCUACCAUGCAGUCGUGCGAUCGUCAACCAGAGAGAGCGGCGGACGGGUGAGUAACGCGUGGGUAACCUGCCCUGUACACACGGAUAACAUACCGAAAGGUAUACUAAUACGGGAUAACAUACAAAAGUCACAUGGCUUUUGUAUCAAAGCUCCGGCGGUACAGGAUGGACCCGCGUCUGAUUAUCUAGUUGGUAAGGUAAUGGCUUACCAAGGCAACCAUCAGUACCCCACCUGAGAGGGUGAUGGGCCCCCCUGGAACUAAGGCACGGUCAAAACUCCUACGGCAGGCACCUUUGGGAAAUAUUGCCCAAGGGGCCACACCAGGAUGCACAACCACCGCUUGACCAAUAAAGGCCUGGGGGCCUAAAGUUCUGGCAUUAAGCAAAAUUUUGACGGACCUUGAGGAAGGAACCCCGGGCAAC